UAGACGGAUGCCCGUUGGUUUGGGCGUUUAGCUGUUAACUAAAACUUUGCAGGAUCGAAGCCUGCCUGUCUAG
RNAcentral lists this transfer RNA (73 nucleotides) under Pleuragramma antarctica (Antarctic silverfish). RNAcentral's name for it is "tRNA-Asn". Lineage: Eukaryota; Metazoa; Chordata; Actinopteri; Perciformes; Nototheniidae. The record is from RNAcentral.